AACGAACGCUGGCGGCAUGCCUAACACAUGCAAGUCGAACGAGACCUUCGGGUCUAGUGGCGCACGGGUGCGUAACGCGUGGGAACCUGCCCUUAGGUUCGGAAUAACUCCCCGAAAGGGGGGCAAAUACCGGAUAAUGUCUUCGGACCAAAGAUUUAUCGCCUUUGGAUGGGCCCGCGUUGGAUUAGCUAGUUGGUAGGGUAAAAGCCUACCAAGGCGACGAUCCAUAGCUGGUCUGAGAGGAUGAUCAGCCACACUGGGACUGAGACACGGCCCAGACUCCUACGGGAGGCAGCAGUGGGGAAUAUUGGACAAUGGGCGAAAGCCUGAUCCAGCAAUGCCGCGUGAGUGAUGAAGGCCUUAGGGUUGUAAAGCUCUUUUACCCGGGAUGAUAAUGACAGUACCGGGAGAAUAAGCUCCGGCUAACUCCGUG
RNAcentral lists this ribosomal RNA (433 nucleotides) under uncultured bacterium. RNAcentral describes it as "partial 16S ribosomal RNA". It matches the Rfam family "Bacterial small subunit ribosomal RNA", at positions 29 to 507 of the family's 1533-position model. The record is from RNAcentral.